GAUGAACGCUGGCGGCGUGCCUAAUACAUGCAAGUCGAGCGAACGGACGAGAAGCUUGCUUUUCUGAUGUUAGCGGCGGACGGGUGAGUAACACGUGGAUAACCUACCUAUAAGACUGGGAUAACUUCGGGAAACCGGAGCUAAUACCGGAUAAUAUUUUGACCCGCAUGGUUCAAAAGUGAAAGACGGUCUUGCUGUCACUUAUAGAUGGAUCCGCGCUGCAUUAGCUAGUUGGUAAGGUAACGGCUUACCAAGGCAACGAUGCAUAGCCGACCUGAGAGGGUGAUCGGCCACACUGGAACUGAGGCACGGUCCAGACUCCUACGGGAGGCAGCAGUAGGGAAUCUUCCGCAAUGGGCGAAAGCCUGACGGAGCAACGCCGCGGGAGUGAUGAAGGUCUUCGGAUCGUAAAACUCUGUUAUUAGGGAAGAACAUAUGUGUAAGUAACUGUGCACAUCUUGACGGUACCUAAUCAGAAAGCCACGGCUAACUACGUG
This 497-nucleotide ribosomal RNA is filed under the name uncultured bacterium. RNAcentral describes it as "partial 16S ribosomal RNA". It matches the Rfam family "Bacterial small subunit ribosomal RNA", at positions 28 to 507 of the family's 1533-position model. The record is from RNAcentral.